AGUGAACGCUGGCGGUAGGCCUAACACAUGCAAGUCGAACGGCAGCACAGUAAGAGCUUGCUCUUACGGGUGGCGAGUGGCGGACGGGUGAGGAAUACAUCGGAAUCUACUUUUUCGUGGGGGAUAACGUAGGGAAACUUACGCUAAUACCGCAUACGACCUACGGGUGAAAGCAGGGGAUCUUCGGACCUUGCGCGAUUGAAUGAGCCGAUGUCGGAUUAGCUAGUUGGCGGGGUAAAGGCCCACCAAGGCGACAAUCCGUAGCUGGUCUGAGAGGAUGAUCAGCCACACUGGAACGGAGACACGGUCCAGACUCCUACGGGAGGCAGCAGUGGGGAAUAUUGGACAAUGGGCGCAAGCCUGAUCCAGCCAUACCGCGUGGGUGAAGAAGGCCUUCGGGUUGUAAAGCCCUUUUGUUGGGAAAGAAAAGCAGCAGGUUAAUACCCCGCUGUUCUGACGGUACCCAAAGAAUAAGCACCGGCUAACUUCGUG
This 492-nucleotide ribosomal RNA is filed under the name uncultured bacterium. RNAcentral's name for it is "partial 16S ribosomal RNA". It matches the Rfam family "Bacterial small subunit ribosomal RNA", at positions 29 to 507 of the family's 1533-position model. The record is from RNAcentral.